Molecule: non-coding RNA, 82 nt
Organism: Ixodes scapularis (black-legged tick)
Lineage: Eukaryota; Metazoa; Arthropoda; Arachnida; Ixodida; Ixodidae
Source: Rfam
GCAGUCGUGGCCGAGUGUUUAAGGCGAUGGACUAGAAAUCCAUUGGGGUCUCCCCGCACAGGUUCGAAUCCUGUCGACUGCA